This is a non-coding RNA of Pelobates cultripes (western spadefoot toad), 243 nucleotides long. Lineage: Eukaryota; Metazoa; Chordata; Amphibia; Anura; Pelobatidae. The record is from the annotation of a GenBank genome assembly.
GAUCUACUUGGAUUUUGCCAAGGCAUUUGAUAUGGUUCCUCACAAUAGGUUAUCCUUCAAACUAAAAGAAAUUGGUCUAGAUGAAUAUUCUUGUUCUUGGGUAGAACUCAAGGACCACUCUAGGCACCCAGACCACUUCAGCUUAAUGAAGUGGUCUGGGUGCCAGGUCCAGCUAGGUUUAACCCAUUUUUUCAUAAACAUAGCAGUUUCAGAGAAACUGCUAUGUUUAUGAAUGGGUUAAGC